UAGGGAAUAUUGCACCAUGGACGGAAGUCUGAUGCAGCAACGCCGCGUGAGUGAUGAAGGCCUUCGGGUCGUAAAACUCUUUUCAAGGGGAAGAGGAAGGACGGUACCCUUGGAAUAAGCAUCGGCUAACUACGUGCCAGCAGCCGCGGUAACACGUAGGAUGCAAGCGUUAUUCGGAUUUACUGGGCGUAAAGCGCGUGUAGGCGGUUGGGAUAGUUGGAUGUGAAAGCUCCCGGCUUAACUGGGAGAGGUCGUUCAAAACUUCCCAACUAGAGUUUGGUAGAGGAAAAUGGAAUUCCGGGUGUAGUGGUGAAAUGCGUAGAUAUCCGGAGGAACACCAGUGGCGAAAGCGAUUUUCUGGACCGAUACUGACGCUCAGACGCGAAAGCUAGGGUAGCAAACGGGAUU
Molecule: ribosomal RNA, 408 nt
Filed under: uncultured Pelolinea sp.
Lineage: Bacteria; Bacillati; Chloroflexota; Anaerolineae; Anaerolineales; Anaerolineaceae
Description: bacterial SSU rRNA
Rfam family: Bacterial small subunit ribosomal RNA
Source: RNAcentral